UGGGGAAUAUUGCGCAAUGGGCGAAAGCCUGACGCAGCGACGCCGCGUGAGGGAUGAAGGUUUUCGGAUCGUAAACCUCUGUCAGAAGGUAAGAAACCGCACUGUGCUAAUCAGCAGUGCCUUGACGGUACCUUCAAAGGAAGCACCGGCUAACUCCGUGCCAGCAGCCGCGGUAAUACGGAGGGUGCAAGCGUUAAUCGGAAUUACUGGGCGUAAAGCGCACGUAGGCUGCUUUGUAAGUCAGGGGUGAAAUCCCACGGCUCAACCGUGGAACUGCCUUUGAUACUGCUUAGCUUGAAUCCGGGAGAGGGUGGCGGAAUUCCAGGUGUAGGAGUGAAAUCCGUAGAUAUCUGGAGGAACAUCAGUGGCGAAGGCGGCCACCUGGACCGGUAUUGACGCUGAGGUGCGAAAGCGUGGGGAGCAAACAGG
This 429-nucleotide ribosomal RNA is filed under the name Fusobacteriota bacterium. Its description in RNAcentral is "Fusobacteria bacterium partial 16S ribosomal RNA". It matches the Rfam family "Bacterial small subunit ribosomal RNA", at positions 355 to 776 of the family's 1533-position model. The record is from RNAcentral. Lineage: Bacteria; Fusobacteriati; Fusobacteriota.